Long non-coding RNA from Hemicordylus capensis (graceful crag lizard), 1124 nucleotides. RefSeq lists it as uncharacterized. The record is from RefSeq and is a predicted model, not a curated record. The transcript is spliced from 6 exons. Lineage: Eukaryota; Metazoa; Chordata; Lepidosauria; Squamata; Cordylidae.
CUGAACUCCAGUAGGGCCCAAGCCAGCCAGGAAGGAGGAGGCAGCCAGAGUGGCCACCACUGGUCUCUGCAGCAGAAGACCCCUUGCUGCCAGACUCUAUCCCAUCAUUCUCUGAAACUCUCCAUGUGGACUAUAUCCAUGGUUGCAGCCAUAUGAAGGAAGUAAAAUCUGUCCCAAUACUGAACCUCUGUAUUCUGAAUACUGAACAAAUCUGUGUUCAGAGGUUCUACUUCCCAGCGGUGAUUCACAGAUACAAAGACCUUGAAAUGGAAGCAUAUGCAAGGAAGAUAUUAACUAAGAAUUUCCAACCUGAACUAUCACUUUAGAGAGCAGCAGCCAUUGAUGGGGACUGCAGGUGGAGAAAAGGAAACACAAAGCAUCAGAAUGUCAUCGCAUGGGAUGUCCCACCACUACCACCAUACACUUUGUGAGUACCCUCGGGACUGAGGCUAGACCAAAGGGCAUGGCUUUGAAUUGGAAUGUGUUUGUGCCAACCUGGACAUAGCCUCUGGAUGAAGCGGUUUAGAAAUGAAAUGAAAGAAAGGAAGGAAGGAAGGAAGCAAGCAAGCAAGCAAGCAAGCUCAAGGGUGAUGGGACAGGGGAAGAAGGGAAAUGACAAUCCCAUGAGGGAUUACAGAGACUUUUAAAAUGGAGUUCAUUUGUCUUUGUUAUCCCAGAUUUUGAUUUCAACAACAACAACAACAAUGCAAGGCUCUAGUGUCCUAUUUCAAAAAAGGAUGCAGGUGUUCAUAUGGCAGGAAUGACAAUAUGGGAAUACAGGCUCACAUCCUGACUAAGGAAGCACCGAUGCAACACUAUAAUCUCCUCUUCCUUCCGCUGCUGCCUGCACCACCUGAAUAUAUGUUGCUGAGGCCCAGGGACAUAUUUUUCAGUGUCACAUGCAACUGCGGAAAGAAGGAGAGAUAAUUUUCCCUUAGUCUGUAAUACCUUUGCACCAGUGCAGUGUGAGUCAAGAUGUCAGCCACUGUAUUUGUAAUGAUUCAUGAUCUAUCUCAUUAAUUUCUGAAGGUCUGAAUGAUCAUCUCUCUCACUGAGAACUCCAGUGUACUGCACUCAAAGACAUUUCAUUGCAAAUUUCUUUCACUGAGAUAAUUGCUGUUUAG